This 1018-nucleotide ribosomal RNA is filed under the name uncultured bacterium. RNAcentral's name for it is "bacterial SSU rRNA". It matches the Rfam family "Bacterial small subunit ribosomal RNA", at positions 355 to 1375 of the family's 1533-position model. The record is from RNAcentral.
UGAGGAAUAUUGGUCAAUGGGCGGGAGCCUGAACCAGCCAAGUAGCGUGAAGGACGACGGCCCUACGGGUUGUAAACUUCUUUUAUAAGGGAAUAAAGUUCGCCACGUGUGGUGUUUUGUAUGUACCUUAUGAAUAAGCAUCGGCUAAUUCCGUGCCAGCAGCCGCGGUAAUACGGAAGAUGCGAGCGUUAUCCGGAUUUAUUGGGUUUAAAGGGAGCGUAGGCGGGCUUUUAAGUCAGCGGUCAAAUGUCACGGCUCAACCGUGGCCAGCCGUUGAAACUGCAAGCCUUGAGUCUGCACAGGGCACAUGGAAUUCGUGGUGUAGCGGUGAAAUGCUUAGAUAUCACGAAGAACUCCGAUCGCGAAGGCAUUGUGCCGGGGCAUAACUGACGCUGAGGCUCGAAAGUGCGGGUAUCAAACAGGAUUAGAUACCCUGGUAGUCCGCACGGUAAACGAUGAAUGCUCGCUAUGGGCGAUAUAUUGUCCGUGGCCAAGCGAAAGCGUUAAGCAUUCCACCUGGGGAGUACGCCGGCAACGGUGAAACUCAAAGGAAUUGACGGGGGCCCGCACAAGCGGAGGAACAUGUGGUUUAAUUCGAUGAUACGCGAGGAACCUUACCCGGGCUUGAAUUGCAGGUGCAUGAGUCAGAGAUGAUUCUUUCCUUCGGGACUCCUGUGAAGGUGCUGCAUGGUUGUCGUCAGCUCGUGCCGUGAGGUGUCGGCUUAAGUGCCAUAACGAGCGCAACCCUUCUCCCCAGUUGCCAUCGGGUAAUGCCGGGCCCUCUGGGGACACUGCCAUCGUAAGAUGCGAGGAAGGUGGGGAUGACGUCAAAUCAGCACGGCCCUUACGUCCGGGGCCACACACGUGUUACAAUGGGGGGUGCAGAGGGCCGCUGUCCGGUGACGAUCGGCCAAUCCCUAAAACCCCUCUCAGUUCGGACUGGAGUCUGCAACCCGACUCCACGAAGCUGGAUUCGCUAGUAAUCGCGCAUCAGCCAUGGCGCGGUGAAUACGUUCCC